Neltuma alba is the source of this 1055-nucleotide long non-coding RNA. RefSeq lists it as uncharacterized. The record is from RefSeq and is a predicted model, not a curated record. NCBI's taxonomy places the organism in Eukaryota, Viridiplantae, Streptophyta, Magnoliopsida, Fabales, Fabaceae. The transcript is spliced from 3 exons.
GAAACCGAGAAUUGACAGAGACGAGAGGAGCAGAGGAGAAACGGGCAAAGAGAAGCGGAUGAUCGGAGGCCGUUUUCGAGCAUGCAAGCUUGGAUUCUGGACAAGCCAAAGCAAGUAGUAGUAAGGGAAAGGAGAUUGCAAGAGAAGAAGAUGGGCUGUGAGAAGAGUGUUGCAUUUUCCCGAGCCUGUCAAGGAAUCACCAGAAAAAGAGGACAAUAAGAUUUGUUUUGGAAGAAAGCGUGCCAGGUAGUAGCUCUUUCCUCUCUUAUGAUUGUGUUUUGAUCGCUAUAUGUUUGUCUGUGCUAUAAUGCUGUAGUUAAGCAUGAGAACAUGUAAUCUUUUCUUUGUAUGGAUUAUUUAGCCAUGGCCACGAGUAGCUAAUAGACAAGGGAUAGUUUUGCCAUUUAUCUGCGCGCCAUUGAUUUCAUCUUGUCUAUCUAGUUUUGCACAUAAUUUGCUUUUAGGCAUAGCUUGGGAGGUGUUGUUUCUUCAUUGCUUGUUUUGCAUGUUUUUGUUGAUGUUGCAUAAUUAUUUGAUGGAAAUUGUUACCACGAGGAUUCUUUGAAAUCUCAUCCCACAUUUCUUCCAUAUUGUACAAUUAAGACCGAUAACUCUAAGGGCAAGAGCAUUGUGAUUGAAGAAGAAUGAAGGUAGAAGAAGCAGGAAUGCCUACUUAUAUUUUAUACUGAUUAUAUAUAUAUAUAUAGGUUAUAUGUAAAUAUAUAUUUUGACAAGGUGUAUUUACUUGCAUGUGUGUGUGUAAUAUAUAUGUAUUCCCUCCGUUAGGAGGAGGAAAUUAAUAGCUGGAGAUAGACAAGUGCUAUAGACUGAGGUGGUAUCUAUACAAGCGUAUGAUAUUACUACCUCCUGUCCUAAUUAGGACCGGAGGUCGUAAUUAGGACCAAAGGUAGUAAUUUCUAACUCUUGUUAUGAUGAUAACAAUGGAUGUCAGUUAAAGCAAGUUAGAAAUCAGGGCAAUAAAUAUUAAGCUUUGCAGCUCAUUAUAGAUUUAAUUAUAUUUAGUGGAUAGUUAUAAGUAGUGAAGAUUGGUUCAA